Non-coding RNA from Myotis brandtii (Brandt's bat), 73 nucleotides. NCBI's taxonomy places the organism in Eukaryota, Metazoa, Chordata, Mammalia, Chiroptera, Vespertilionidae. The record is from Rfam.
GCUGGUUUGGCUCAGUGGAUAGAGUGUCAGCUUACAGACUGAAGGGUCCUGGGUUCGAUUCCAGUAAAUGGCA